GCAGGUUAUGUAUAUUGUAUACUGGUAUUGUAUAUUUCUAUAAUUAUUAUGACUAUCAUCGCUGGCAUAGCUGUAUUUUAGCUAGUUAACAAUAACAUUGCUAGCUAUUUUUGAUUAACUUUGCUAGUAACAGUAAUGGCAACAUUGCCAUCUCUCUAAAGUAAAUUUGACGACAUAAUAAUAUUGACCUACUUUAGCAAAGUCAUCGUAUUUCCAGGCCUCUCUAAAUUAAUGUAAUUUAGAUGAAACAGUCACAUUAGCCUCCGAGGUGCAACCCAUGUCUAGGGCACAAGUAAAUACUGUGUGCAGCUCUGGUGUGUCCUAGCUAACUCAUCUCUGACUACAACAGUGUACUAACUAGCAGCAACAAACUCAACCCAACCCAGGGCCUACCAGAAGGAGCAAAGCUUGUCAGGCAAUACCUUACAAUAAAAGUGUGUCAUGCGACACAAGUACCCUUGUGACACCACCUCCGUUGUUGCCAGAGUCUCCCUUGACUCCUAUGACAAGGACACGCCAUCAUGAUGCUUCUGAUAGUGACCCGAGUUACUGCCCUGAGGACACAGACAGCUUCAUCAUCAACGACAGUUAAUGCCCUCCCAGUCAACACCACCUCAUAAGAUUGCCUGCAGCAGGUGUUCAAGAGAUGCCCAGUUUGCAGCCGAACAUGCAGCAUAGAGAAGACCAGCAAAUGCAUGAGAUACAGAGAGACCUGGCACUCAACACAUCCAAUCAACACAUCCACAAUGAGAUGGACUGGAGAUGCUUUUGCCAGACGGCAGCCUCAGUCGUUUGAUGGGGAGACCAUAAUUGGGUAGGUUUAUAUGACCUGUUCAAACUUCAUCAUAGUACCUGUUUGUAUGUCAGAUAUUACCUAUCCUAAC
Non-coding RNA from Salmo salar (Atlantic salmon), 884 nucleotides. Lineage: Eukaryota; Metazoa; Chordata; Actinopteri; Salmoniformes; Salmonidae. The record is from RefSeq and is a predicted model, not a curated record.